RNAcentral lists this long non-coding RNA (451 nucleotides) under Bos taurus (domestic cattle). RNAcentral's name for it is "long non-coding RNA NONBTAT024100". Lineage: Eukaryota; Metazoa; Chordata; Mammalia; Artiodactyla; Bovidae. The record is from RNAcentral.
CAUCCUUGGUUCCAGGCAAGUAAGUUAAAGUUCAGACAGAUCCUCUUCAGUUUCCAGGAAAGCAUGAAGAGAAUUAAAAUGAAAAUAUUUUCUGCUUCUUCCUCUCACAAAGGAAAGAAAGUUUUCUAGAAAGUAAAUCUUGUCAAUGGUUACAGCUUUUCUAACAAACAGCCACUAGUGUGCAGUUUUAGGAUAAAAUAGUAGUAUUUCCACAGUCACCUAGGCAUCUAGAUCCAGGUACUUUAAAUAAGUUUACAUAUAUACAAACAUAUUCUUAUCUGUGCCCCAUGAACCUCAGAAGUAUUUUCUAGUACCUACAUAAAUCACCUUUCAAUUUUUUGAGAAAUAGAUAGUCAACUGUUUCAGGGUAAUUAUCUCCUUGCUAGUAGCACAAAGUUUAAGGAGGUAACUUUUGCAAGAAUGGAGUACCUUUGUUCUCUACCACUAUCCC